RNAcentral lists this unclassified non-coding RNA (301 nucleotides) under Hevea brasiliensis (rubber tree). The record is from RNAcentral. Lineage: Eukaryota; Viridiplantae; Streptophyta; Magnoliopsida; Malpighiales; Euphorbiaceae.
AAGAAAAUUCUACAAUAUCUUUGAUUCCCUUGCAAAUAAAGGAUUUUGCAGCAGCCCCUCCUGCUAAAUAACUUGAUCCAUGAGAACCAAUUACAGGAAAUAUUGUUCUGAGCUCUUGGGACAAUAAAUAGCCACUCCAGGGAAGUUGAUGUCACAUUGAUUCUACCCCCACCUAAAGCAAAUAUGGCAUAAAUUGAAAGCACCCAUGUCUCUGUUCAUCUUCUUAAAAAUAUCAUCCUUAUCAGCAAUAGUAUGGAUAUGACAAAUGAGCGUCCAUCCUCUCUCCCUAAAUUGGACCUGG